UUGCAGCCAUAUCAUGUUAAAACAACAGUUCUCAUACAAUCACCAAGGUUAAGUAACAUUGAGCUUGGUCAGUACCUAGAUGGGUGACCCCUUUGGACUACUAGGUGCUGUAG
Non-coding RNA from Acanthosepion pharaonis, 113 nucleotides. The record is from the annotation of a GenBank genome assembly. Lineage: Eukaryota; Metazoa; Mollusca; Cephalopoda; Sepiida; Sepiidae.